This is a non-coding RNA of Pelobates cultripes (western spadefoot toad), 620 nucleotides long. The record is from the annotation of a GenBank genome assembly. NCBI's taxonomy places the organism in Eukaryota, Metazoa, Chordata, Amphibia, Anura, Pelobatidae.
UCAGUAUAUUUUAUAACUGAGACAAAAAGUCACUUCAUUAGUAUUUGAAAGUUAAUUCCCCAUAUGGGAUUAAUUGUAUAGAAACACCAAUCAGCACAUCUUCCCUGCCCUGUGUGUUUGUUGCAAAGGAUCCAUACUGUAAAUAUAAUUUUUGUUUGAAAAUAACAGAGCAACAUUUACAUUUUCAGCGGUCCAACACAUGCUUUAUUUUGCGCUGUAAACUAACCUUUUUAUUGCAACAGAUUCCUUUUAAAUGAUCCAGUGUAAUAACUACUGCUUGUGUCUUCUAUGUCUCACAUUAUGUGAUAUUUUAAAUUGUGGUAUAUAGCCUGAAUCAGACAUCAUGGACAAAAGGUUUUUACCUGUGUUACUAAGGGCUCUUGGAGACUGACCGGUCUAAAGGUUUGCCAUGCCUUUAAAACAUGGUACAGUAUAAAUUUUUAAGUCUCUGAGAGUUCUGAAAGAUUCAGGUGAAACCAUGUCUGUUUAAUCUGGUCCAGAUGUUUGUUCAAUUUCUAUAAGAUUUAAGUUGAUGCAGCAUCAACUCAGAUUAGUUAAUGGAAGUUUCAUACAAAUAGUUGAGUUAUGAGUGCGCUAUAUAAAUGGAUCCUUUCUUUAUA